AUAUUGUAAUGUGGAAUAUAAACUAGGGUUCAAUAUAGUCCUAAAAUCCGAUUCGACUGCUAUUAGGCUACCUAGCCUAGGGAUCGAGAUCUCUCCUCGAUCUGCCCGUCAGCUGAUGAUAAAUAAACAAGAGAAAGGAUCCGGCUCCUGAGUACUUGAAAUCUGAAACAGCGCUGUGGUGAGGGACAUCAACAGGUGUCCGAUUCCCGAUGGUUAUGAUGCUUGUCGGGUCGGUCCGAGGAUAGACACGGUGUUGAUGAGUUUAGGAUACUCUGGUCCUCUCACCAUCACUUCCAUCGUCGACCUGGAAGACACUCCUGAAUUGAAGUCCUGCGAGCGCUCUCUUCCACUGGGAUACUUCUUUUAUUAGAGACAUCCCUUGCGGUGAGAUCUUCUUCCUUCUUUUUAUUUCUCUUUCUUCUUCAAUAAUAAGCCUAUAUAGGCUACCAAUCAAAAUUAAUUAGUGGAUGGUUUUAUGUUGAUAUUCAUUCAUCUGCAUGCGUUAAAAAAUCUUCUUAUGUA
Molecule: long non-coding RNA, 522 nt
Organism: Camelina sativa (false flax)
Lineage: Eukaryota; Viridiplantae; Streptophyta; Magnoliopsida; Brassicales; Brassicaceae
Source: RefSeq, a predicted model, not a curated record